This is a long non-coding RNA of Sapajus apella (tufted capuchin), 6920 nucleotides long. RefSeq lists it as uncharacterized. The transcript has 2 exons. Lineage: Eukaryota; Metazoa; Chordata; Mammalia; Primates; Cebidae. The record is from RefSeq and is a predicted model, not a curated record.
UAGUUUUUGUUUUGUUUGGGUUUUUUGGUAGAAACAAACAGUGUCACUGUGUUAUCCAGGGUGGUCUCAAACCCCUGGCCUCUAGCAUUUCUUCUACCUUAGCCUUCCAGAACUCUGGGACUGCAAGCGUGAGCCACCGCACCCAGCCAGCAACUCCUGAGUUUUAAAUUAUGCACUAUUCUGAAUAACAUGGUGAAAUCUCCCACCUCUCCACCCAGGGCAUUAAUUAUCCCUUUUUGCAGUAUAUCCACGUUGUCUAGACUACCCACCACUUUCAGUCUAUUGGUUAUCAGAUCGACUGUUGUAGUAUCAAUGCUUGUGUUCAGUUAACCUUUAUUUUACUUAAUGGCCCUAAAGCACAAGAGCAGUGAUGGAAAUUCAAGUAUGCCAGAGAAGCCGGAAAGUGCUUCCUUUAAGUGAAAAGGUGAAAGUUCCUGACUUAAUAUGGAAAGAAUUAAAAAAUCAUAUGUUGAAGUUGCUAAAAUCUAUGGUAAGAAUGAAUCUUUUGUCCAUGAAAUUGUGAAGGAAAAAUAAAUCAUGCAUAGUAUAUACAGGGUUCAGGACUAUCUGCAAUUUUAGACAUCUGUGGGAGGUCUUGGAACUUAUUCCCCAUGGAUAAGUGGGGAAUACUGUAUAGUCUAUAUAAAAGGCCCAUUUCUGAUAUGUAUUUUAUGAUUUUCUCUAAGUCUGUGGCUUUUUCAUUUUCUUAUCUUCUGAUGAGCAGAAAUUAUUAAUUUUUUGAGGUCUAUUUUAUUUUUUCUUUUAUAGUUUUUUUAAUGUCCUUUUAUAUCUAUCUUUGCCUAGCCCAGAGCCACAGGUAUGUUUUCUUCCAAUAGUAAAAUACAGGUUUAACUUUUAUGUGUAAAUCUGUGAUCCACUACCAAUAAAUGUUUAUGAUGUUGUUAGACAGUGGAUGUCAUUGAUUUUCUAAAUCGUUUUACUUAUUUGUUAGAGAGACUUCCUUUCCCCAUUGAAUUGCUUUUGCACUUUGGUUGAAAGUCAAUCUGCGUGUGAUCCUUGUUUCUGGACUCUCCAUUCUGUUCUAUUAAUUUGUUUUGUCCUUUUGCCAAAACCACACUGUUAAUGGUUACUGCAGCUUCAAAUCAGAUGCUGUGAUUCCCACAACUUUUUCAUUAGGUCGCUUUGACUAUUUUAUUUGUAUAUAAAUAUUAGAGUCAGUUAAUUUCUACAAACAAAAAAAGGAGGCAAAGCCUGCAGAGAUUUUGAUUUGGGUUGCUUUGAUUGGGGUAAGUCAAUUUGGGGGGAAUUCACAUUUUAACAAUAUGGAUCCUUCCAUAUUGGCCAAGCUGGUCUCAAACUACUGGCCUCACGAUCUGCCUGCCUUGGCCUCCCAAGUGCUGGGAUUACAGGCGUGAGCCACCAUGCCCGGCCUUUUCUGUAUUUUUUAUAGUUGUUUUCACAGUCAUUUUCAUGGUCAUUGUGGGAAUCACAUUAUAGAUAAUGUGAUUUACCACCAUUCGCUGCCAUCAACACCAUCAUCUGGAAUGAGAUGUGGAAACCUUGCUUUCUGUUAAGGUCUCUUUCCCCGCUUUUAAAUAGUAUUGUUCUGAGGAUUAAUGCUGUUAUAGUUUUUGUAUCAGUUAUCCAGUAGACUUACAGAACUUACGAAGAGAGUGAUCCUCUGUUGUAUAUAGCCAUGUUUCUGCUAUUUCCACUAUUUUUUCCAAGAUUCCAUCUUUUAUUACUUCCAUUAGCCAGUUCUCAAAGGCAGCUCUGCUAAUGAGAAAUUCUUUUUAUUUUUCUCCUUUUGAAAAUGACUUUAUUUUCCCUUUAUUCCUGAAGAAUAGUUUUAUUUAUGCUCUUUGGAGUUCACUCAGCUUCUCGAAGCUGUAAGUCUGUCUCUUUUGCCAAACAUGGAAAAUUUGUUCAACCAUUAUUUCUUCAGAUGUUCCUUCAGCGUCAUUCUUGUCUCCAUUCUAGGCCUCUGGAGAUACAAAUGUUGAAUCAUUUGUUAUUGUUCCACAUGUACCUGAGGCACAGUUCAUUUUUCACUCUACUUUCUCUCUUUUGUUCAGAUUUCUAUCCUUUGUCAUCUUCACUCUACUGUUGAGCCCAUCUAAUGAUUAUUUUUCGCUUAUUGUAUUUUUUAGGUCUAUAAUUUCCAUUUGCUUUUCUUUCCUUAUAACUUCUGUUUCUUUGCUGAGAUUUUCUAUUGUUUCGUUUUUGAAACAGCAGAACUUAUAAUUGCUUGUCAAAUCAUUUCUAUGAUGGCUGCAUUAAGAUGCUUGUCAGAUAAUUUCAACAUCUUACUCAUCCCAGUGUUGGCGUUGAUUUUCUUUCCUUCAUGUGAUUUUCCUGGUUCUUGGUAUGACAGAUAAUUUUUGGAUUGUAUCUCAGGCAUUUUAGUUAUUACAUUAGGAGACUGUCCUUUUAAAAAUUUUUUUUACUUCAGUGGUAACCUGUUUAGGUUUAGCAUGUAGGUGCUAGCAUAUGUUUGUGGGCUGUGGUUCCAAUGACCAUUUUUCAGAGCCUUUGUGGUGCUGUUUUGGUUUGUUGCUUUUAUCUUACUCUGCUGGGGCUCACACUGGUUCCUAGUGGUCCUGCUUGAGGGGGCUCCUCCAGGCUGAUCUGCGCAGAGUGUGUUUGGGUGGGGGAAGAGGGACCCCCAGAGUGCUUCCUGAGCCUUGUGCCUCUCGUGGCAGGCUCUCCCAUGCCUGGUGUUUCUGGCAGUGCUCCCGCCCGCUCUGUGCCCCUGGGCUGUAGAUCACUUGCAGGAAAAGUGAACACUGCCAGACCAAUUAAUUAUAGGAGGAUUCCUCCUGCCAGUGCUCAGCAGCACUGUGUCUCUGGAGCAGCAAGGAGAGUCUCAGGCACAGCUUCAUUUCUUUUUUAAGAUUUUUCUUCUGUCUUCAGUGUCUAUGGUACUAUUGUUCUGCUUUAUUCACUUUUCUAUUUCUUCUAGUUUAGUUUUAGUUUCUUUGCAUUUGAAGUGAUUUUUUUUCCUUGCAUUUCUAAUUACUCCUUAGUUGUGUCAUGUCUUGUCUUCAGUUACCCUUAUUCUGAAAUUUCCCAUUUCUAAUUGUUAUUUUUAAAAUUCUUUUUAGGUCAAUUUGAAAUUUGUGUACAGUUUUUAUCUAUUUGCAUAUAGUUUGGUGUACUUUAUAGGGACAUCAUUCUCAUGUACAUGCACAUAUUCUUUCUCUAAUAAUUACACUGUUGGACUCUGUUUUGUUGCUUAUUUUUUUUUUUUUUUUUGUGAGUGAAAUGAGUUUCCCAUAGUGGCAUGAGGGGGAGAUGGGCUAAGAUAACUUUUCUUGGUUUUUGGGGAAGGGGAGAAGUCUGUGUUUUGGUAAAAUGGUCAAAAAUAUGCCCUUGCUCUUUCUGAAACUUCCUCCUUCCCCACAUAUAUUUGCACUUUUUUUGUUCUUUAUUAUGUUUGAUCUGUUCCAUUUGGAAGUUAUUCCUGGAAGUUUCUCCUUGGUACAAGGUUUGUUUUACAGGGGAUUUAGCGUUCAGGAGUUUUAAGGGCCCAGAGCUUUACCGCAUCAUGAUCCCUUUGUAAUGAUCUGCAGGUUAGAUCCUGUAGAACUUUUUAAAACUUUAAGCUAUUGCUUUCUAGUGGGUUGGCAGUUUGAAGGUUUUCCUGUUCUCGGGGCUAUAAGACACCAGGCAGUUACCUUCCAUGUGCUCUUGUAGUUAGUUGUCAGAACUUUGUUUCUGUCCACUUAUUUGCAGUGGUUCAUGGUUUUGUUGUAGAUAAUGUCUCUGGGUCUUUGAUUUUCCCAUUUAGUUUGCUCCUUUUGUAGGUGAGAUUGGGAGGAAAUAAAAGCAAAAACAAAACAACUGUAUGUCACUGCCAUCAUCGUCUCAGAACCUGUUAGCUUGCCCUUCACCUGAUUUUUGUAUUUAUCAGUAUCAUUACCUGAAUGUAUGAUCUCAUUGGGGAUUGCAAAAUGGCUGUCUGGGGGGAAAAUUUUUCCAUCUGUUUGUCCAACAUCUAUACCUGGCACUCUUUUUUCUCAUCAGUGGGUGCCAUUUGAUUACCUUGAAAAAGUUCUACUGAAAAGGCCUAAAAUAUAUUUUAAGAUUUUUAGAAUUAGGAGUUAAUGUAAUAAUUUUAAUGGUGACAAUUUAAUUUUGUUUUUCAGUUGUUUUUUCCUGCAUUUUUGAAUAUUAUGAACUCAUAAAUGUUUUUAUAUUUAAUACGUUUCUCAGUCAUUACUCUAAAUGAGAUUCAAAUUGCGUAGACUUGGUGUGCUUUUAAAAUGUCCCUAUUAGAGGGCUGGGCGUGGUGGCUCACGCCUGUAAUCCAAGCACUUUGGAGGCCAAGGCGGGCGGAUCACCUGAGGUUGGGAGUUCAAGACCAGCCUGACCAACAUGGUGAAACCCCGUCUUAAAAAUAAAAAUAAAAAGACCCUAUUAGAUUUUUAAAUUUCUACUUAAUCUCGAACAUUUAUUCUCAGUCCUGGAAUAAAUUAUUUUCCCAAUGAAUUGUUGGAGAAUGGCAUUUAAGAGUCAGAUUUUAGAUGCAAAAUUUAGCCUUUGCUUUAUGAAUGUUAGUACUUGUAGGCUUCAUCAGGACGGAACUAGGAAAAGUAUCUUUCUAGUAUAUCCUGAGAAUCACCCACAUCACCGCACAGGCGUUUUCCAUUGUGUUUUGUAUGACUGAAUACUGCCACGUUGUGUGGAUGCAGCAUAGCUUAACAGUAUUGAUGGGCAUCGAGGCUAUUUUUAACCUUUUGCUAUUAGUACUAAUGUCACAGUGAAUCCUCUUACGUUCAGGCAUUAUUCCUUACAUAUGUAAGGUAUCAUUAAGAGAAACUAUUAGAAGCAGGAUUGUUGCAACAAAUGGUAGAUGCAUGUAUAAUUUUGCAAGAUCCUGCCAAAUUCUCCUUCACAGAAAAGUAACAUUUUGCAUUCCCCCCAGCAGUUUACAACAGUAGCUCUUUUCUUAAAACUUUCCAAACAGAAUGUGUUGUUAAAUGUGGAUAUUUACUUAUUUGCCAGUUGGGAAAUGAUAUUUUACUGUACUUAACAAUUUUUGAGUUUACCUCAGUUAUGGAUGAGGAUGAGCAUUUUUUCUUGUACUUAAGAGCUGUUUAUAGUUUUAUAACGUCUUUUGCUCAUUUUGCUGCUCAGUUGGUCAUUUUAUUUUUAGAAACUUUAUAUGUUAAGGAGAUUAGCCCUUUAACUACAGUAAAUUUGCAACUAUUUUUUCCCAGUUUGUCAUUUGUCUUUUAACCUUAUGUUUAUGUAGUUAGCUGUUAAUCUUUUUCGUUAUUCUGCUUUGAUAUGCAUUUCUUUAGUUAUGUUUCUUUUAUUCAUUUUCUUGGUUUUUAAUUUUCUAGACUCUAUAUCCUCAGUAGAAAUUUUAGUCAUAUUGCUGCUUCUUUGGUUACCUUAUAAUAAAAUUAGCCUUUAUUUCCAAAAUUAUUACUUUGCAUAUUUCUUAUUUUUUAGUAUUCUUAUUUCUAUUUCAGAUGUGCUCAUUUCUCUCUGAAUUUGUAUUUCUCAUCACUGGUGCUCUUUUUUGCCUGCUGCUGCAUUCUCCCUUUGUGUUGGAAUUUGGUGUUAUGGGUUUCCCGUUGUUUAUGACUGAAUUUUUCUGGUGUACUUUCUUUCGUCCUCCAGAAAGUUUUCCUUCUCAUUCGCCAGACUUUCUCCAUAAUAUAUUUAUUUGGACUCUGUAAUCCUGUUUUUGUUUGUUGUUUCUAUAAUAGAUGUUAGUUUUUUCUGGACCUGUCAUUACUAGACCUCAUGGUGGAGCAGGGAGGAAUUUGCAUGGCUUUAGGAGUCUUGGUUGAAGGGAACCGUCUUCUGUUGCUUUAGUAAGUGCAGAAUCACCACUUUCUGAUUUUUCAGCUCCAUUUAGAUUAAGACUCUUUUUCAUUAGGUGCUUCCAUCCCUUUAUGACCCUUAAGGGACACUUGAGCUUUCCAAGGUACCACCUUCCUUUCAUGCAUGGUGCCUUCCUGAGACUGCCAUUGCUGGACCCAAGUACUUUUCUAUAGUCCUUCCUUUAACCACCCUGUUGCCAGUCCCCUCUGGCCUCUGCAAUGUUCUGUUGAGCGGCAGGUGGUGGGGAGUCCAGCCUUCCUGGGUGAUCCCUAAUAAGUAUGAAUCUGUACACGCCACUCUCCAUGUAGCUCCUGCUGGACCCUGCUCAUUCCCCACUUCUGUGACAUUUGGAAUCUAUUCCUCUGUCUCCUGGUUUUACUCUACACAUAUGUCAUAGGUGUUUUUAUUUCUCCCCUUUGUGAUCUGGAUAGAUUUUGAGAGAUGUGAGUAGGAUGUGAUCAACACAGCCACCACUUUUAUGUAGAAACCUGGAAGCUUCAUUUGUUCUUCAGCUUUCUAAAUGAAUGCAUUCUUAUUUAAUUCAAAAUGUUAAUAUAACACUUAACAGGAAGAGAAGAAUUUUGUUCCCUAAUUGUUUUCAUUGUAUAAAAUUUUUAAAGGUUUUGCUUAAAAGACCAAAGCAGCUCCAUAAUGAUACAGCCAGACUGGUCACUGCUCAUCUGCCAUUUCCUACAGGGUCUGUCUCCACUCUUCGGUGGUGCUCUUUGAUCUGCCUCCUGAGGUGUAGCUGGUUCAGUUAAGUUUCAGAGCCCUCCUGCAGUGUGAGGAGACUUUGUUACCACCCACUGCAGGGCAGCUUUUCUGCUCUGUUGGAGGGCUCCUUGCUAUAGCAGACUUGUUUCUUCUUGCCAGCCACCCCAAAAGGAAUGUCAUGAACUGGGGUCUGAUUCCUUUCCUCCUCAACUGGGAAGAUGCUCCUGCAAGUUUCAUGUCCAGUUUUCUGUUCUUGUGUAUUUCUUUUUUGUUUUCUCUUGCUGACUGGUAGAUUCAUAGAGGGGCAGGGAACAGAAGUGGCAAGAGACCGGAGAAAGCCAAGAAUUCUAAUAAAGGUUUUAAUUUAUUUCAGAUUAAUGGUGUUGCAGCAACAAAAAUGCCAGCAU